CUGCAACUCGCCUGCAUGAAGUUGGAAUUGCUAGUAAUCGCGAAUCAGAAUGUCGCGGUGAAUACGUUCCCGGGCCUUGUACACACCGCCCGUCACACCAUGAGAGCCGAUAACACCCGAAGCCUGUGAGCUAACCGUAAGGGGGCAGCAGUCGAAGGUGGGGUUGGUGAUUGGGGUGAAGUCGUAACAAGGUACC
This 196-nucleotide ribosomal RNA is filed under the name uncultured bacterium. RNAcentral's name for it is "partial 16S ribosomal RNA". It matches the Rfam family "Bacterial small subunit ribosomal RNA", at positions 1305 to 1500 of the family's 1533-position model. The record is from RNAcentral.